Molecule: long non-coding RNA, 1381 nt
Organism: Astatotilapia calliptera (eastern happy)
Lineage: Eukaryota; Metazoa; Chordata; Actinopteri; Cichliformes; Cichlidae
Source: Ensembl
GGAUUAUCUCAGGAUAGACCACAUGAGUCACCAGAAAUUCUACUAGAUACACUAUGUGGUGUACUGGGGCAGCUGUGGUAGCUCAUUGGAGAAAGUUAAAUUGACCCCCCGUCUUCUCCAUUCUGGAUGUUGGGCAUGAUACUGAUCUCCAAAUUUCCCCCAAUGCAUCCGCUUGAGUGUGACUGUGUGUGAGUGUCAUCAUACAAGACACUUGGAUAUUGAAAAAAAGCACUUGUAUAAACCUGUGUGCGACUGGGUGAAUGAGGCUUGUAGUUACCAAAAGCACUUUCUCGUGGUGUAGAUUGAACAAGGUGCUUGAAACAUUUCUCUGAUAUCUUGGUCCAUAUUGACAUGAUGGCAUUACACAGUUACUCGAGACUUGUUGGCUGCACAUCUGCAUGAAUGAGAAGUUGAAGAGUUGUAUCUAAUUAUGUGACAAUGAAUGUAAUAUAAUGUGUCAUGGUUCUAGGUCUGGUGACCCAGUGUUUAUGUUUUUGAUCAUUAAUAGUCUUUGAUUUAGUUACUGGUUAUAUUUUCUAGUUCUUAAGUUUUGUUACUGUGCCUCCCUUGUGUUCCAUGUGUUCCAUGUGUCACGCUGAGUCAGUUAUGUUUUCAUGUUUGCUCUUUCUUAAUUUUUGUGUAUUCAUUAUUUGUUGUAAAAAAUGGAUCAUGAUCAGGGUUUAGUCUUUUAUUAAUGGUUUGAGUUCAUGUUCCCUUCCAUUUACGAGUUUUUUUUUUUUUAUAUUUCAUGCCUUUAGUCUUUUUUUUGGUUUUGUUGAUAGGUCUGCUAGUUCCCUUUUGUGUUCCCUUCUUUUCCUCCAGUCUUUCCCCUGUGUUUGUCUUUUGUCGCUGUGUCAAAUUAAUAUGGUUACAUAUUACAUAUUUCAUUACAGUUUUUCCUCUUCAUCUUGUUUGUAGACUUUGACAGUAAUACACCUGCCUUGCCAAGAAUUUCUUGAUGUGUAGAUGUUAAGCUGUUUUUCUUGACCAUGGAAAUAAUUCUGUAAUGCAUUUUCAAGCUUUGUUCAGAGCUUGGAAAGAAAACAUGUUUAAAGAAGUCUUGUCUCUUUUCUUCCCAAGCUUCUUAGAUUAACAUGACCUUCAUAGACAAUUCUGUAAUGCACUUUAGUUGUCUUCUGUUGUCUUUCAGCUCUUUUGGUGUUGCUGAGUUGGUCAGUACAGCAUAAAUGGUCAGUACUGCCUUUGAAUCUCUUUGUACUGUGUACAAUGACAAUAAAGGAAUUCAGAACAAUUCAAUGUAAUUCAAAUCUUGCAAAUCCUGACAACUUGACAUCUUCUCUUCUACUCUUCUUAGCAUCUUCAUCACUGUCACAUCUUCUAGCUGUCUUUUGGUCACAAUGUUGAGGUGGUAUGUGUAAAA